UUUUAUGGAGAGUUUGAUCCUGGCUCAGGAUGAACGCUGGCGGCGUGCCUAAUACAUGCAAGUCGAGCGAACAGAUAAGGAGC
Molecule: ribosomal RNA, 83 nt
Filed under: Staphylococcus arlettae
Lineage: Bacteria; Bacillati; Bacillota; Bacilli; Caryophanales; Staphylococcaceae
Also listed under: 1 other name
Description: partial 16S ribosomal RNA
Rfam family: Bacterial small subunit ribosomal RNA
Source: RNAcentral